GGGGAAGUGGCGGAAUGGCAGACGCGCUAGCUUCAGGUGCUAGUAUUCGCAAGGAUGUGAGGGUUCAAAUCCCUUCUUCCCCAC
RNAcentral lists this transfer RNA (84 nucleotides) under Lactococcus termiticola. RNAcentral describes it as "tRNA-Leu". It matches the Rfam family "tRNA". From Rfam's summary of the family: Transfer RNA (tRNA) molecules are approximately 80 nucleotides in length. Their secondary structure includes four short double-helical elements and three loops (D, anti-codon, and T loops). The record is from RNAcentral. Lineage: Bacteria; Bacillati; Bacillota; Bacilli; Lactobacillales; Streptococcaceae.